RNAcentral lists this ribosomal RNA (253 nucleotides) under uncultured bacterium. RNAcentral describes it as "partial 16S ribosomal RNA". It matches the Rfam family "Bacterial small subunit ribosomal RNA", at positions 524 to 776 of the family's 1533-position model. The record is from RNAcentral.
UACAGAGGGUGCGAGCGUUGUCCGGAAUCACUGGGCGUAAAGGGCGCGUAGGUGGCGACCCAAGUCGAUGGUGAAAGCUCGCCGCUCAACGGCGAGUCGGCCACCGAUACUGGGUUGCUCGAGCACUGUAGAGGCAGAUGGAAUUCCGGGUGUAGCGGUGGAAUGCGUAGAGAUCCGGAAGAACACCGGUGGCGAAGGCGGUCUGCUGGGCAGUUGCUGACACUGAUGCGCGACAGCGUGGGGAGCAAACAGG